RNAcentral lists this non-coding RNA (26 nucleotides) under Mus musculus (house mouse). Lineage: Eukaryota; Metazoa; Chordata; Mammalia; Rodentia; Muridae. The record is from RNAcentral.
UGAGCUUAGGCCUGUACUGAAGUGUU